RNAcentral lists this ribosomal RNA (433 nucleotides) under uncultured bacterium. Its description in RNAcentral is "partial 16S ribosomal RNA". It matches the Rfam family "Bacterial small subunit ribosomal RNA", at positions 29 to 507 of the family's 1533-position model. The record is from RNAcentral.
AACGAACGCUGGCGGCAUGCCUAACACAUGCAAGUCGAACGAUACCUUCAGGUCUAGUGGCUCACGGGUGCGUAACUCGUGGGAACCUGCCCUUAGGUUCGGAAUAACUCCCCGAAAGGGGUGCUAAUACCGGAUAAUGUCUGCGGACCAAAGAUUUAUCGCCUUUGGAUGGGCCCGCGUUUGAUUAGCUAGUUGGUAGGGUAAAAGCCUACCAAGGCGACGAGCCAUAGCUGGUCUGAGAGGAUGAUCAGCCACACUGGGACUGAGACACGGCCCAGACUCCUACGGGAGGCAGCAGUGGGGAAUAUUGGACAAUGGGCGAAAGACUGAUCCAGCAAUGCCGCGUGAGUGAUGAAGGCAUUAGGGUCGUAAAGCUCUUUUAACCGGGAUGAUAAUGACAGUACCGGGAGAAUAAGCUCCGGCUAACUCCGUG